GAGAGUUGGCUGGUCCUCUUGGUGGGAGCUUUUAAUAGCUGGUGUAGCCUAACUAGCUUCUUUCGAAGAUUGCAGAAGAGGAGUCCUACUCAGGCAGAAAUUGGGACUUUUGCCUCGAUUCGGGCCACUCGAGCCCCUUUUCAAUCCAAGCUAUAGGCCAAAGUUCAGGUUGUGACCCAAAUUAAACACCAAGCUGGUUAAGUGGACCAAAACCAAUUCACUCCAGGCUAGAUAUUUUAGAUGGUCUCAAAAUUCACCAUGAUAAUCCCA
Molecule: long non-coding RNA, 270 nt
Filed under: Elaeis guineensis (African oil palm)
Lineage: Eukaryota; Viridiplantae; Streptophyta; Magnoliopsida; Arecales; Arecaceae
Description: long non-coding RNA (EGUI_LNC072994)
Source: RNAcentral